AUGUUGUUUAUUGUAGUCUCCCUGAAGUUGGGACAAAAUUGAACAAACAAGAUGAGUUUGGUGCUUUGGAAAGUGUGAAAGCUGCUAGUGAACUCUAUUCUCCUUUAUCAGGAGAAGUAACUGAAAUUAAUGAAGCUCUUGCAGAAAAUCCAGGACUUGUAAACAAAUCUUGUUAUGAAGAUGGUUUUGUUUUGUUUUGUUUUGUUUUGUUUUGUUUGAGAUGGAGUUUCGCUCUUCUUGUCCAAGCUGGAGUGCAAUGGCACAAUCUUGGCUCACUGCAACCUCCGCCUCCCGGGUUCAAGUGAUUCUUCUGCCUCAGCCCCCUGAGUAGCUGGGGUUACAGCACAGGAAAAAGAAGAUAAAGUAGGAGAGGGAUCAGUUUCACAUUCAGUCCUAAGCAGCAACACGGUUGAGAUGUAAUCAUAAAAGCAAAUAUUUCACCCAGGACAUGGAAAAGCGGCGGAUCACCAGAAAGCAGAGAGUCAAACGCUGCAAGCAGAAGCAGUAAGAAGACGCCACGUUUGGAGCAAGGUCUUAUUUACACCUGCCAUGGUCAUCGGCUCGCUCUUUUAGGUCUCCCCAACCCGGCCCCCAAAAAGAGGUUAUAUGCAGAGGUAAUAUAAUAUAUGUACUUUUGAAAAUAACAAAGUCACCGUGGAGAUAAUUUCAAAACAAUUUAUUUUCAUUUUCAGAUACAUUGGACUAUUUCACUGAUGUUAAAAAGAGUAUGACUUGUUUAAAUUUUUUGUUGUUUCUUUUUUGCAGCCUAAUGU
RNAcentral lists this long non-coding RNA (773 nucleotides) under Homo sapiens (human). RNAcentral's name for it is "non-protein coding lnc-C16orf46-1:1". Lineage: Eukaryota; Metazoa; Chordata; Mammalia; Primates; Hominidae. The record is from RNAcentral.